ACUCAAAGGAAUUGACGGGGGCCCGCACAAGUGGUGGAGCAUGUGGUUUAAUUCGAUGAUACGCGAGGAACCUUACCGAGGCUAGAAUGCGCGUGACCGGCUCAGAGAUGGGCCUUUCCUUCGGGACACAAAGCAAGGUGCUGCAUGGCCGUCGUCAGCUCGUGCCGUGAGGUGUUGGGUUAAGUCCCGCAACGAGCGCAACCCCUAUGUUUAGUUGCCAGCGGAUUAUGCCGGGGACUCUAGACAGACUGCCUGCGCAAGCAGCGAGGAAGGCGGGGACGACGUCAGGUCAUCAUGGCCCUUACGCCUCGGGCUACACACGUGCUACAAUGGACGGUACAGAGGGUCGCCACCUGGCAACAGGGAGCCAAUCUCAAAAAGCCGUUCUCAGUUCGGAUCGGAGUCUGCAACUCGACUCCGUGAAGCUGGAAUCACUAGUAAUCGCGUAUCAGCAACGACGCGGUGAAUACGUUCCCGGGCCUUGCACACACCGCCCGU
RNAcentral lists this ribosomal RNA (498 nucleotides) under uncultured bacterium. RNAcentral's name for it is "partial 16S ribosomal RNA". It matches the Rfam family "Bacterial small subunit ribosomal RNA", at positions 899 to 1397 of the family's 1533-position model. The record is from RNAcentral.